CCUACGGGUGGCUGCAGUGGGGAAUAUUGGGCAAUGGGCGCAAGCCUGACCCAGCAACGCCGCGUGAAGGAAGAAGGCUUUCGGGUUGUAAACUUCUUUUGUCAGGGACGAGUCGAAGACGGUUCCUUUCGAAAUAGGCAAGGCCUACCUCGGUGCCAGAAGCCCCGGUAAUACGUGGGGGGCAAGCGUUUUCCGGAUUGACGGGGUGUAAAGGGCGUGUAGGCGGGUGGGCAAGUCAGAUGUGAAAUCCUGGGGCUUACCCGGUGAACUGCAUUUGAAACUGUUUAUCUUGAGUACUGGAGAGGCAGACGGAAUUCCUAGUGUAGCGGUGAAAUGCGUAGAUAUUAGGAGGAACACCAGUGGCGAAGGCGGUCUGCUAGAACAUAACUGACGCUGAUGCGCGAAAGCGUGGGGAGCAAACAGGAUUAGAUACCCUAGUAGUC
RNAcentral lists this ribosomal RNA (443 nucleotides) under uncultured bacterium. Its description in RNAcentral is "partial 16S ribosomal RNA". It matches the Rfam family "Bacterial small subunit ribosomal RNA", at positions 338 to 795 of the family's 1533-position model. The record is from RNAcentral.